AUUUUAAAAGAAUAUGAACAAAAAUAAUAAAAGUAGAUAAGGGUGUGUAGGGGCAUUAGGCAGCAUGCCCCUUUAAAAACCACGCAUCCUUGAGGCUCCUGUCUGGGCUGUGUGCCAGCACUCACAAUGAUAAGAGUCCUGGGCUUGGCCAACCCAGCUGCUUUCUUGUGGGAGAGUUAGCACCAAGACCCUCAUGGUCUGAGGGAACACAGAGGCUCUUGGGGGGGUGGGGGUCAGGGGUUCUGGUCCUUGGAAUGCUGGUCAUAAAGGAACGAUCUCCCUUGGCAAGUAUGCAGCCUUUGUUUCUCUGCCGGCUUAAGUCAAGCUUCUUUCUGUGAGGUAGCGGAUGCACAUUGCUGCCUGGCCGGCAGCCAUGGGACCUUCCCUCUUUCCUGCAGAGGUUCACCCAGGACCACUCUGUGACAAUUCAGGCUGCCUGGCUCCUUUGGCUGGACAGUGACUUCUGAACCAGAGUGAAGACAAUGAUCUCAGCAUGGUGCCCUAACUCUGCUCCCAAAGUCUCCUUAGAAGUGAGCCCAGAGAUGGUGGGAUACUGCCACUGCAUGAUAAGUGGUGUGUAGGUCUGCGCCCAGGAUCCAAAACAGUGAACCUCAGGCCACCAAAGCAGAGCGUGCGAACUUAAACUGCUACACCACUGGCCAGGCCCCUGAUUCAUUGUUCUUAAUGCAGGCAUGACUUGAUGUGCAGUGUGUAGGUCCGUGCCUGAGAUCCAAACCUGCACACCCCGGGCCACUGGAGCAGAGUGCAUGAACUUAACCACUACACUAGCAGGCUGGCCCCAACAAUUGCCGUUCUUUGAGUAGAUAUUCCAGGGGAAUUGUGUCCAGGAGAAUAAGACCAAUUCUGUAGCAAGCUGCCAUGAUCAUUUACAGAAGCAUUGAGACGCUAGGACAGCUAAAAGUUUUGAGUUACUGUUUCAGGAAUGCCUAAUAUUAAUGUAAAUGGAACUGGUCAACAAAUGUUUACCAUAACGGACCGGAGGGUAAAUAUAUUUGGAUUGCCAGCCAUACGGUUUCAGUUACCCUAUUCAAAUAUGUCACUAUUGCAAAAUGGCCAUUGACGAUAAAUAAACAAAUGAGGUGGCCAGACUUGGCCCUUGGGCUGUAUUUUGACACUCCUGAUUAAUACAGUAUAAACACACACAUAUUUGUACAAAAGAAUAGAUUGAAA
Molecule: long non-coding RNA, 1191 nt
Filed under: Equus caballus (horse)
Lineage: Eukaryota; Metazoa; Chordata; Mammalia; Perissodactyla; Equidae
Description: lncRNA (ENSECAG00000042739.2)
Source: RNAcentral